This 508-nucleotide ribosomal RNA is filed under the name uncultured bacterium. Its description in RNAcentral is "bacterial SSU rRNA". It matches the Rfam family "Bacterial small subunit ribosomal RNA", at positions 17 to 518 of the family's 1533-position model. The record is from RNAcentral.
UUCUGGCUCAGGAUGAACGCUAGCGGCAGGCUUAACACAUGCAAGUCGAGGGGCAGCGUGGAGUAGCAAUACUCUGACGGCGACCGGCGAAAGGGUGAGUAACGCGUGAGCAACAUGCCCGGUAGUGGAGAAUAGUCGAUGGAAACGUCGCGUAAUACUCCGUAACAUAGGAGACCGCAUGAUCUUCUAUUAAUAGAUUUAUCGCUACCGGAUUGGCUCGCGUACCAUUAGCUAGUUGGCGGGGUAACGGCCCACCAAGGCGACGAUGGUUAGGGGUUCUGAGAGGAAGGUCCCCCACAUUGGAACUGAGACACGGUCCAGACUCCUACGGGAGGCAGCAGUGAGGAAUAUUGGACAAUGGCCGAGAGGCUGAUCCAGCCAUGCCGCGUGCGGGAAAGACGGCCCUAUGGGUUGUAAACCGCUUUUGUUGGGGAGCAAUAAGGUCCACGUGUGGAUCGAUGAGAGUACCCAGCGAAUAAGCAUCGGCUAACUCCGUGCCAGCAGCCGC